GCCGGGUGUGGUGGUGCACACCUGUAAUCCCAGCACUUGGGAGGCUGAGGCAGGAGGAUUGCUGUGAGUUCAAGGCCAGCCUGAACUACAUAGCAAGACCCUGCCUCAA
Heterocephalus glaber (naked mole-rat) is the source of this 109-nucleotide unclassified non-coding RNA. It matches the Rfam family "Metazoan signal recognition particle RNA". From Rfam's summary of the family: The signal recognition particle (SRP) is a universally conserved ribonucleoprotein. It is involved in the co-translational targeting of proteins to membranes. NCBI's taxonomy places the organism in Eukaryota, Metazoa, Chordata, Mammalia, Rodentia, Bathyergidae. The record is from Ensembl.